Non-coding RNA from Macaca mulatta (Rhesus monkey), 77 nucleotides. Lineage: Eukaryota; Metazoa; Chordata; Mammalia; Primates; Cercopithecidae. The record is from Rfam.
UGCAGAAGAAAGAUCUGGAAGUGGGAGAAAUUUUCACUGUAUAUAGUGACUUCCACUUCCAGAUCUUUCUCUCUGUG